GCAAGGCAGUAAGGCAAAAGACCAGCUAUACAACAGAGAGAAGGGAAAGUAAAUACACAGAUCAUCUUGCUUAGAAGUUUUUCUGUACAAAGGAUUAAAAUUUGAAGAUGUGCAAAGACCAGGGGUCUGACUAACAACUGCCUUGAUUCCUUGUUAUUCUAUGACUAGAUUGACUGAAAAAUUGGUCACAGGGAAUAAAAGCCUAAGUUCCUAUACAGUAGGUAAACAAUCUCUUCAGCAUGGAAAUCCAGAAAGUCUUCUGUGUUCAGACUACAGCUGUCUAUUAGAAACACUUCAAAAGCAAAGAAGCUGUCAAACUAAAAUCUUCAGGUAGAUCCCACAGCUUAUGCAGCAAAUUUGUGGUCAGAUGCGUUCUCACUGGGACAGUUGCCUAAAAUAACUUUCCAAGACUUAUGCAGGGUAUUUGAAAGGGACUAGGUGGGUAUUCAGAGUUCUAAUCUCCUAAAGCUACAUCAGAUUACUAUGUUCUAUAGUAUGUGCUGU
Molecule: long non-coding RNA, 504 nt
Filed under: Phasianus colchicus (ring-necked pheasant)
Lineage: Eukaryota; Metazoa; Chordata; Aves; Galliformes; Phasianidae
Description: lncRNA (ENSPCLG00000003000.1)
Source: RNAcentral